CCCUGGCUCCUCCCCUGAAGCGGUGCCCACAGCAUGGAUGUCACGGUCCUUCCCUCGUAGCCUCGCCUCUGGCGUUAAGGUUGCGCCAGGCCACCUGCAUCUCACGACCGCCUUCAGAUGGUGCUGGACUCUCCCCCUGGGCGCGUCAGGACCGUGCUGUCUGCGCCCACAGCCACCGUCCCUGGCAGCGUGGCGGGCAUGGCUUCCCAACUUCCCUUUCCACACACGGGCAGCUUCCCCCAUUUGGGGCCAUUGUGGAAACAGCCGUGUUGUGUCUUGGGACGGAUGCGUGUUCCCUGUCGCUCCGGGAGGCCGCUGUCCCCGUUUCUGUUCUCUGUAUCUAUCUCCUCUUCUGAUGGCGUGGUCAGGCAGGCGGUCCCAACCUGCUCUGACGCAGUGACCCUGUUUUGUGCUCAGGCUGCUCCAGGCACUGGGUCUGUGGGUUCACGGGUUUCUUAAUCAGGUUGGGGAAUUUCCUAGCCAGUGCGUCUUCGGGUGUUUCUUCUGCCACUGCCUUCCCAGGACUCCAGCUGGGACUCCCUGGCUGCUCCAGGGCUCCCCAGCUCUCUUGUUUUUAAACCGUCUUCUCCCUCGUCGUGGGUAGUUUCUGUCAUCCCGUCUUCGCGCCCACUCACAUCUCAAGCAGGGUUUAAUCAGCCGCCAUUCCUGCCCGGAGAUUUCUCAGAUGUCAGGCCUUUGUUCCAUGGGUGUCUGUGUGUAACUUGCUGCCGUCCGUUACACGGUCAUAGUGGCUGUCUGACGGGCUUCUCCUAGUUUUGACCUUGCUGCCGGCUUUGCUUCACCUCAGUUGAGUGCUUAAUGUCCUCGUUGUGGGUAGUGCUCUCUGCCCCUUUGCGUGUGCUGAUGGCCUUUGACAGGACCCGGCCUGAGGACGCUGCCUUGUUAGGUAUGGGGUCACCCUGUGUUCCCACCAGGCAUGGAUUUGUUCUGGAAGAGGCUCACCCUGUUCAGAUGACGGCUUUAGCACGCGUCAGGUGGGUCCAGGGCACCACUGUCCUGUCCAGUGGUGCCCUGUGGACUGGGGUCUCCAGCCUGGCUUCUAGGACUGUUCUGCCCCUUGACCUGACCGUUUGUUCCUGGCACUAGGGGUCCCCUCACAUGCUCACAGGUCCUCUGCAGACUCAAGGGGCUGCCAUGGUCACUGUCCCAGGAACCCUCCUACUGUCCAGGCCUGAGUGGAGGCACCUAUAGGGCCACUGCAUUUGUGACUCUAUGCACAGAAAGGCAUUUGUGUGCCUUUCUGGUGUGUCGUUGAAAUAAUGUGGAGUCCCAGGGGGCCGUGGAGACAGUGUGGAGGGUGCCCUGUGCCCUCCCCAGCGCCCCAUUUCUUCAAAUCUUCCCGAACUGGAGUGUGGUAUUGGAGCCCGGGGACAGGCGUUGGUCCAAACUGUUGGUCAUUAUGUCACUUGAGCAGCUUCCUGGCCCACUGCGCAGGGGUGCAGAGCCACACUGCCCCUUGCCCAGGCCAGCUGCCCCUACCAGGCCCAGUCGCCCCUUUCCAGCCCCUUCCUGGCCCCUUCCAGGCCCAUCACUCCUUCCAGGCCCAGCUGCCCUUUCGAGACCCCUUCCAGGCCCAGCCGCCCCUUCCCAGCUCCUUCCCAGUCCCUUCCUAGCCCCUUUCAGGCCCAGUGCCCCUUCCAGGCCCCGCUGCCCCUUCCCGGCCCCUUCCUGGCCCAGCUGCCCCUUCCCGGCCCCUUCCUGGCCCCUUCCAGGCCCAAUCGCCCAUUCCUGGCCCCCUUCCAGGCCCAGUCGCCCCUCCCCAGCCCCUUCCAGGCCCAGCUGCCCCUUCCUGGCCCCUUCCAGGCCCAGUCUCCCCUUCCCGGCCCCUUCCAGGCCCAGUCGCCCCUUCCCAGCCCCUUCCAGGGCCAGCCGCCCCUUCCCGGCCCCUCCCAGGCCCAGCUACCCUUCCGAGGCCCCUUCCAGGCCCUGUCAACCUCGGUCUGUCUGCCAUCUGCGGCUUUCAUCAUUAGGAGUGUGAUGUAAAUAGAACGGUACUGAGUGUGCCUUUCUGGUGUGUCGGCACCUGGUCCCUGUGCGAGCCGAGCAGUGUCCACGGCACACAGGCACCACCUUCUAGUUCUAAAGUUGGAGGCCGUGAGGGUGGUUGCCUCCAUUCUGCUGAGAUAUGUGAAUAUGUGUCACCGGAUGGACACUCCUGUGCCGAAUCCUUGCCUCCGGGGGUAAAUCCCACUUGGUCCUGAGGCGUAGGCCUCUGGGUGUGCUCUUGGAUUCAUCUUGCUGUGUCUGGGGUGUCAGCAGUACUUAGCUGGAGGCCUCCGGAGAGGUAUUCUACUCUGUCUCCACGACACCAGCACCGUAUACUUUUACAAACAAACGUUUUAUUCCUGGAAUCUUCGGCCUACAGUUCACAGUCACUGUUUGAAGAAUUCUGGGGAUGACAGAGGCUGACCACUCCGUGGGUGUGUCCUUCAGCCACGUUUGAAGGUCUUAGAGACUUGAGGCACUUCCUGGUGGUGACGGACAACUUGAGCUCAUAUUCUGGAAACUCUUAAAAAAUCUUACACACCAGGAUUCUGCCAGAAUUUGGGCUGAUUAUAGAAGGACUCUGGCUCUUUUCCUGGGAUUAGGCAAGUCGGGGCUGAAAGAACAAGGAGGCAGACAGACCAACCAGAAGUCGUCCUCAGAGCAUCAGGCAGACCUUCGUGAAGGUUCACUUCCUCUGGACGAGAAGGAAACAAUGCUUGAUGGGAUCGGUGUGGCCCUUCAGGCACCGACUGACCUCGCUGGCUGCUGGCAUGUGUUCUGUGUGGUGACACCCAGACUUACCAUCACAGUAAACCCACUGUCUCAGAUUCUGUUUCUCUGUCCUGUGGACCCAUGAGGUUCGAUGAAUAACUGAGCAUUUUUUCCUUCAGUGGGUGCUAAGUCUGUGUCACAAACUCCCCUGUGUAAAAACUGUUGCUUUAGAAAAAUCACUCGAUAUUUACAAUAAAAUAAAAUUGCAAAUCACGUUCUGAAAAAAGUUUAACUCUUCAUUUGUCGAAAUAAAAGAAGAAAGGCUUCUCUU
This is a long non-coding RNA of Neofelis nebulosa (Clouded leopard), 3049 nucleotides long. RefSeq lists it as uncharacterized. NCBI's taxonomy places the organism in Eukaryota, Metazoa, Chordata, Mammalia, Carnivora, Felidae. The transcript has 2 exons. The record is from RefSeq and is a predicted model, not a curated record.